This 188-nucleotide unclassified non-coding RNA is filed under the name Glomus sp. Its description in RNAcentral is "partial contains 5.8S ribosomal RNA and internal transcribed spacer 2". The stretch from base 1 to 65 matches the Rfam family "5.8S ribosomal RNA", at positions 84 to 154 of the family's 154-position model. The record is from RNAcentral. Lineage: Eukaryota; Fungi; Glomeromycota; Glomeromycetes; Glomerales; Glomeraceae.
GUGAAUCAUCAAAUUUUUGAACGCAAAUUGCACUCUCCUCGGAGAGUAUGCCUGUUUGAGGGUCAGCCUAUAAAAAAUCGACAUCGUCGCUGUUUCGCGGUGGCGUUCGUCGGAAAUUGGGUCAUCUUAAAUCUUUUGGUUUUUUGAGCUUCUUAAUAUUUUUUUUGUUGUUAUUAGCGCUUCUAUGA